GUUGUACACUGGGGAGGUGUUAUCAGUGAUUGAUAGCAUUCUCUGUGUAAGUGUGUGUGUAUACAGAGAUAGCUGUCAGUCACUGAUGGCUGUUCAUAGGGGAGGUGUUAUCAGUGAUUGAUAGCAUUCUCUGUGUAAGUGUGUAUACAG
This is a long non-coding RNA of Bufo bufo (common toad), 150 nucleotides long. RefSeq lists it as uncharacterized. The transcript has 3 exons. The record is from RefSeq and is a predicted model, not a curated record. NCBI's taxonomy places the organism in Eukaryota, Metazoa, Chordata, Amphibia, Anura, Bufonidae.